UACGUAGGAGGCAAGCGUUGUCCGGAAUUACUGGGCGUAAAGCGCGUGUAGGCUGCUUGGAAAGUCGGAUGUGAAAGCCCUGGGCUUAACCCAGGAAGUGCACUCGAAACUUCCAAGCUCGAGUCCUGGAGAGGGUGGCGGAAUUCUCGGUGUAGAGGUGAAAUUCGUAGAUAUCGAGAGGGACACCGGUGGCGAAGGCGGCUACCUGGACAGUGACUGACGCUGAGACGCGAAAGCGUGGGGAGCAAACAGG
RNAcentral lists this ribosomal RNA (253 nucleotides) under uncultured bacterium. Its description in RNAcentral is "partial 16S ribosomal RNA". It matches the Rfam family "Bacterial small subunit ribosomal RNA", at positions 524 to 776 of the family's 1533-position model. The record is from RNAcentral.